RNAcentral lists this ribosomal RNA (490 nucleotides) under uncultured bacterium. RNAcentral describes it as "partial 16S ribosomal RNA". It matches the Rfam family "Bacterial small subunit ribosomal RNA", at positions 30 to 507 of the family's 1533-position model. The record is from RNAcentral.
AUUGAACGCUGGCGGCAGGCCUAACACAUGCAAGUCGAACGGUAACAGGAAGCUGCUUGCUGCUUCGCUGACGGGUGGCGGGCGGGUGAGUAAUGACUGGGAAACUGCUUGAUGGAGGGUGACAACUACUGGAAACGGUUGCUACUACCGCAUAGCGUCGCAAGCCCAGAGAGGGGGGCCUUAUGGCCUCUUGCCACCGGAUGUGCCCAGGUGGGAUUAGCUUGGCGGUGGGGUAACGGCCCACCUAGGUGACGAUCCCUAGCUGGUCUGAGAGGAUGACCAGCCACACUGGAACUGAGACACGGUCCAGACUACUACGGGAGGCAGCAGUGGGGAAUAUUGGACAAUGGGCGCAAGCCUGAUGCAGCCAUGCCGCGUGUGUGAAGAAGGCCUUCGGGUUGUAAAGUACUUUCAGCGGGGAGGAAGGGAGUUAAGUUAAUACCUUGCCUCAUUGACGUUACCCGCAGAAGAAGCACCGGCUAACUCCGUG